GAACGCACCUUGCACUCUUUGGUAUUCCGAAGAGUAUGUCUGUUUGAGUGUCAUGAAACUCUCAACCCCCUUGUUUUGUAAUGAAACGAGUGUGGGCUUGGAUUAUGGCUGCUGCCGGCGUUAUUGUCGGCUCGGCUGAAAUAUACGAGCUACCCAUUUCUAAGAAAUAGACGGUUUGACUCAGCGUAAUAACAUAUUUCGCUGAGGACGUCACAUUCUUUAACAUUAGUGGUGCUUCUAAUGCGACAUCUAAACCUAAGCUUUAGACCUCAAAUCAGUCAGGACUACCCGCUGAACUUAAG
This 302-nucleotide unclassified non-coding RNA is filed under the name uncultured Sporidiobolales. RNAcentral describes it as "sequence contains 5.8S rRNA gene". The stretch from base 1 to 53 matches the Rfam family "5.8S ribosomal RNA", at positions 102 to 154 of the family's 154-position model. The record is from RNAcentral. Lineage: Eukaryota; Fungi; Basidiomycota; Microbotryomycetes; Sporidiobolales.